AUUGAACGCUGGCGGCAGGCCUAACACAUGCAAGUCGAGCGGAUGAAGGGAGCUUGCUCCUGGAUUCAGCGGCGGACGGGUGAGUAAUGCUUAGGAAUCUGCCUGGUAGUGGGGGAUAACGUCCGGAAACGGGCGCUAAUACCGCAUACGUCCUGAGGGAGAAAGUGGGGGAUCUUCGGACCUCACGCUAUCAGAUGAGCCGAGGUCGGAUUAGCUAGUUGGUGGGGUAAAGGCCUACCAAGGCGACGAUCCGUAACUGGUCUGAGAGGAUGAUCAGUCACACUGGAACUGAGACACGGUCCAGACUCCUACGGGAGGCAGCAGUGGGGAAUAUUGGGCAAAGGGCGAAAGCCUGAUCCAGCCAUGCCGCGUGUGUGAAGAAGGUCUUCGGAUUGUAAAGCACUUUAAGUUGGGAGGAAGGGCAGUAAGUUGAUACCUUGCUGUUUUGACGGUACCAACAGAAUAAGCACCGGCUAACUUCGUG
RNAcentral lists this ribosomal RNA (484 nucleotides) under uncultured bacterium. RNAcentral's name for it is "partial 16S ribosomal RNA". It matches the Rfam family "Bacterial small subunit ribosomal RNA", at positions 30 to 507 of the family's 1533-position model. The record is from RNAcentral.